RNAcentral lists this long non-coding RNA (5915 nucleotides) under Brachypodium distachyon (stiff brome). Its description in RNAcentral is "long non-coding RNA (BDIS_LNC004053)". Lineage: Eukaryota; Viridiplantae; Streptophyta; Magnoliopsida; Poales; Poaceae. The record is from RNAcentral.
GGGAAAUAGCACCACUGCUCUUGCAGAAGUGCGGGGGGCGUGAACCGUUCCUCUGUCGUCCACCGUAGAUCUUCUGGAAGCCACCGAUCCCAAUACCCUGCCUCAGGUAGAUCUUCCUUGCAAUUGAAGCUAUAAAUGAAAUCCAAAAUAUAAAUUAGCAUGUGCCAAGCAAAUUCAUUAUACCUGUGGAUAAAGAGGCUAUACAUUGGAAAUGGUAGAACACAUUCCCUUACCAGCUCUGAUGUAGUAGCAAUCAGGAUCAUUGGGAGGAAGCUCCUUGAACCUUGCAGUCUUCACAAUAUCAACCCACUCAGGAAGCUCCAUCUGUAAGGACAUAUAAAUACAAAAUUUUAGUUCCCCAGAGUCUGGCACCCGAUCUAUUUGCAGUUCACCGAUGUAUGUAGCAACACAAAUCACAACAGUAAGUAAACUACCAUUAAUAAAGAUGCAUUAUCCAUCGGAAGAACUAGUGAUACCAUCGAAAUGCAGUGAUUAGUAUUCCGUAGUAGUGUAGGUCAGAAAAGUUGUAAGUUGUUCACAUUUUACACUAGGCUCAAACAUUAGAUCAGAUAGGCAUCUAGCUUCCAUUUACAGUAACCAUCAGUUGACACACAUACCAACAGAAACAACACUAGGCAAUAACAGAGAUAAAAUGCUUAUUUGCAGGUUAAGUGAGACGAUUAUUGGUCUCUUAUUUGCGGGUUAAGUGAGACGGUUAUUGACUACUUAAAUGAUUUACAUUCCCAGAGAAGUGGACAGACAAAAACAUCAUGAUAUAAUUGCUACAGAGAAUAAACCGGCAGCAGGGACAAAAAACAGAAAUCAAAACAAGCAGCAUUAGGCCCUUGCCCCUUGGCAAUCUAAAGGAGAGCCAACAACAUAGUGCAUGAGAUCUAGAAAUAGUAAACCGAUUUCGCACAAUUCUACAUGGACAACUGGAAUAUUGUAAAAGAAAUCAUCCGUGAUCCACAAAUACUAGACUAACGGCAACCAUUCCAAAGCAGCUCCUACACGGUAAGAAAGUUCCUAAAGGGACAGGCUUUGUUCGCCUACGAAGCAAUCCGAUUCCAAAAAUUCACAGGGAAAUUAGCAGAUUAGACGCUUGGUCACCAAUAGACCGGGAUACAACACUCCCCUACUCGAAUCUAACCUAGCGACAGAUCUGAAAGAAGGGGCGUGUUACCUUGCCCGAGCGCUUGAGGUGCGCGGUGUAUUUCUUGUUGAAGUCGUGGGGGGCGACAUCCUUCACCGUGAGCGCCGAGGAGGCCGUGGCUGCGGUCUCGGUAGUGGUAGCCAUCCUGCCGCCUCUCGCCGAAGACACCGCUGUCAAGGAGGAAGUGGGAUGCACGCCGCUGCGGCUGAGAGGGCUAGGGUUUUUGAGGGAGGUUGGGGUGCGUGGGCGGACGAGGGAGGGAAUUUAUACUGGGGCGGAGUUGGAUUAUGGGCCGCAUCCCGCAUCAUGAAGAAGUGGGCCGGGUGGGAAUCCAAGGUUUAGACCAGGCCGAAGACAAAACUCUUCCAUACCCAAAAUAUUCCCUGCCCAAGAAAAGUCAAAGCUCCUCUCUCAAAAAAGAAGUGAAAGCUGCUAAAAAAAAUUCAAAGAAAGAAAAUUGGCGGCGGUGUCUGCUGGAUUUCUAGUUCGUACGUGGGCUCAUACGCCACACUAAAGAGGUGUAUGUUUGCGGAAACCGCAAAAGGGAUAAGAUAAACUGUUCGAACGUAGGUGAUGUUUAUUCCGUCGAAAUCGAGAUUGGGUGAAGUGGGGAGGUGUUGGUCAUGUGAAGGGGAACUGGCUCAGGGCCCAACACUUGUUUUGGAAGAUGGAGGAGAGGACAAGGGAGCUUGGCCUUGAGCCGCGAAAGGUUCGCAAGAAAAGUUAAAUUGGCACCAUGCAGAGAGGUUGAAAUAACAAGCCCAUUAAAGGUAAGAAAGAUUUAUCGAGUGGGCACAAUAUCAUGUGGUGAUGGAUAUCCUUGCUUGCCCGUCUCGGUGUUACUUUUUUCUCUUGAGCUAUCAUUUGCAAUCCCUGUUGGUAAUUGUUAUAAUGUUGUACUUUUUUAUUUUGUUUUUCUUUCCAAUGUACUUACUUCGGAAAGAAGUAGAGCCCAUCACCUAAGAAAAGAUGAUCUAAUGGUAGCUCUCGAUUCCUGGUGUGUCUGCCUAUCACCGCAACUCGUGAACUAUGAAAUUCUUCAAUUUGAGUAAUGCUAUUCAGGUGAGGAACACCCCACCCGCCCACCCACCCACCCACAGUUUGAUUCCGGAAGUAAGAAAUGUUACUCUUCGCAUGAUCCAUCAUUUGUCUGUAAAUUAGCUUGCUCCGUGUGCAACAGAUCCAAUCCCUUGUGCUAUGCAUUAAACAUAUUCUUGUGGAAAUUUUCAACUGCUAGCAAACAAAAAUACAAGACAAUGGACAAGCAAAUGUUUUCAAUACUAUGUAUUUCACACCCCUGAAAAAUGACAGUAGAACAUACUUUUAACAUGAAAAAAUAUAGAGAAAAGGUUCACUCUUUGAGAACUAACAUACAAAAUCAUUGUCUUCAGAGGUUACCAUGGAACAUGGCAACUUUAAGAUUUUACACACCAAGGAUCCAACUACACAAGUAUGGCAAAAGGUACAAAAGUAAGACUUACAAGACCAACCAUCCAAUUAUGCUAUAAUUACCUUUAAGAAAGAACUACAACUACCAUCUCAUUAUGCCACCUUUACCUUGAUAAAAACUGUAACUACCAUAUAAUUAUGCUAGGGUUACCACUAUCAAAGAAUUGGACAUGCUCUCUACUUAUGCUAUAGUUACCUCCAUCAAGAACUAGACCUACCAUCUGCUUAUGUUACCUUAACCAUUGUAAAGAAAUGCAGCUGACAUCUAUCUAUGCUACAAUUACAUAUGCGAUGAACAAAAACUACCAUCUAGUUAGGCUACAUUUUCCCUAGGUAAGAAAUGCAGAUACCACCUUAUUAUAUUACAAUUAGUACCGGACUAGCUGUCCUGUGUCCCAGCCAAGUCUUACGGUGCGGCGUUCAACACUUCACCACACAUGUACACGAGCAUAUGCCACUGUGAACCUAACAUUGUUUUUUGGAAAAGAACUAGUAGCCACGCUUAGAUAAAGCGAUGGCUACAACUACCAUUUUAUGGCUAAUAAACAACUCCCUAUGUUUCAAAAUAUAUGGUGUAUAACUUCCGUUGAUUAUCAAACUUUCUAAAAUUUGACCAACCAUAUAACAAAAGAUGUCAACAUGUACGAUGCCAAAUGUGGAUCAUUAGAUCCAUUGUGAGAUACAUUUUUAUAGUAUCUUGAUUUGGCAUUCUAUAUGUCGAUAUUUUCUGCUAUAAGCUUGUUCGUCAAACUUUAAAAAGAGUUGACACUCAACAAAAGUUAUACGUCCUACAUUUUGGAACGAAAGGAGUACAUUAGUAACUUAUAAUUGUGGUAACUUCAUACUAAAUAAACCGGCAACUACAACUAAAUAAACCGAUGAUAGGGAUACCUUAAAAUACAGUGACGUAAUUAUGCAAUACACAACCUGGAAAUCAGACUUGCAUAAAUUGAUGACAAGUGCCUACAAUUAUACUCUGAUGGCUUGAAAAAAGGUACUCCCACGAGCAGCAUAACUUGUCAAUCUUAUCCUAGACGAUUAUCAAUGCCAAAAUAACCUUUCUUGAUCUGUUUUUUUACCGAGCCUUGGAAUAUUUAACUUGGCCUAGAACUAUAAAGACCCAUGACAAACAAAUAUUGCUGCAAAUUUGUUUUACAUUUAAUUCUAACAUUCAUUUUUCGAUUACUUUUGAAUGUGUUGAUGAUGAAACUUGAACACACGAACAUUUUGUGGCCACGAAAGAGAUGUUGCAGAAAUGGACCGAAUUUCUAGUAUAGAAUGUGAACCAAAAUACAUUUUUUGCAUCAGUUCACUAAAUUAAUAACACCAAAAAACCUGAACAACAGGAAUGUAAGAAACCUAAAUCGUUAGUCCUUUGUAAACUUUGGAUCAGAACAGUGCAAAAUUAUUAGAACUCAAAAUCCUGUAUGUCCUUUGAAUUUGACCCACGGAAAUUAUAAGAACCAGUCUACCGGAGCCAAAGUAAGACCAUUGGAUUUGGACCAUAAACCUAGAAAUGGAAAACAAACCGAUGAAAAAUAAAGAACAACGCAAAUAAAUUAAGAGCAUCCCAUGCAUCUUCCGUUUUCUAAUCCAACAACUAAAUUAGGACACCUUGUAUUAUUUCAACUCCCAACAAACACUGGCACUGCAGUGUAUACUAUUGAUCAUUUUUGUAUGCGAAAGAUGAAACUGCCGAAGUCACAGGGGCACCAAAGGUUAAUGCUAGUGCAGGCAAAAAUUGACCUUAGUCGGGAUAUCAAGCAAGCAUAGCAUGGGAGCAACCUAGCAUCUAGCAGCAGGAAAAUAAAAGGGAUCAAGCACACCAAAUUGAGACAUUUCUUGCCAAUUGCAGAGAGCCUAGACAGCCGACUUGCGCACCUUCUGACUGCAGUGCAAGGACAGCGACUCGCCAAGUUCAGACAAGGAUACACAAAUGGAGGCAUGAAGCUAGACGCGAGCAGACUUGGGGUGAAUUUGUGUUCUUUCUGCAAAUGGACUUUAGUUUUUGCUCUAAUGCUCUGAUUGAUUAUUGGUGGCAUCGAGCUUGUUCCACCAUCACACCACCCAUCUCCUUGCAGCACCUAAUGGGCCAGCGCUGCAGCUAGUAGAUCGCCGUUGCAGGAUGUGCACACAGCGGCCAGAACUCCCUAGUCCUUACUUAUGACAUCCUCACAGGGAUUGGAGGAAAUUUGAGCUAAACUCUCGUCAAUCGUUCCAAAUCCAAACCGGGAUGGGGUUAACUAUGACAUCAUCACAGGGAUUGGAGGAAAUUUGAGCUAAAGUCUCAUCAAUCCUUCCAAAUCAAAACCAGGAUGGGGUUAAGAGUGUGAGGCCCUGCAAGUGUGAGGGAAGACGCCUGCUGCGGCCAUCAGUUUCAAGAGUGCCGCUUUUGGGGUGUUCAUUGUAGAGACGUAGAGACAAACAUGCAAGAACAAAAAAUUCAGGACCAGGAAAUCUAAGAAGCGCCGCACAUGAUGACUAAACGGCACACGUGUGGCAGAUGGAACUUUCCUAUAAAUAAUGGUAACUACACAACGGAAUAACCAUGCAUUAAAAUCAUAUACAAAAACUUCAAUAAUUGAAAAAAUGCAACCAAUCCACAUUCAUGACCAAAGAAUUGCAUAAUAUACCCACAAAAUAAAAGACUUGCAUACGCCAAGAGACUCCAAUACAAGGGUUCACAAACAUAGAUGGUCUGGCGGUUAACCUAGAAGCUCCGAAAAUAUCUCAUCCCAACAUAAUUGGACACAUCCCACGUUAACAUCUUUCAGGAACAAACACAUGGGUAUCUGGAUUCAAAACUGUAGCCAAAUUCUACUACCAAACAUUAAGAUAGUUUCCAUUGAUCAGAUUUCAGGAGCAACUGUUCCAGCAACCUGGUCAAGAUCACGCCUUCCCUGGGAGGUGAUGAUCCUUCCACUGCAACGGACCAUCAAGACAGAGCAUAAGCAAAUAACAAGGUUAUUCAUAAAGUUAACUAUGGCUAAGAUCAGAAAGCACAAAUGCAGCAACAUUACCCCUUGGGAUCAACGUCAAUGAUCCCCAUCUUCUGCAACUCCUGCAGGAUGUUGCGGGAAAUAGCACCACUGCUCUUGCAGAAGUGCGGGGGACGUGAGCCAUUCCUCUGUCGUCCACCGUAGAUCUUCUGGAAGCCACCGAUCCCAAUACCCUGCCUCAGGUAGAUCUUCCUUGCAAUUGAAGCUAUAAAUGAAAUCCAAAAUAAAAAUCAGUGUUUCCCAGAAAAAUCAUUUUACCUGUGGAUAAAAUCAGGCUAUAUAUUGGAAAUGAUAGAACAGGUUUCCUCACCAGC